UUGGUGACUGUACGUUGAAGGGCGUGUCCGUGGCGUGCCCUCAAAGUUGGCCAUUUAGAACAAAUGUCACACUGUGAUGUCAUUUUGGCCUUUCAGGGCUUCUAUUUGAAUGAUUUCCUCUGACACGUUCUAACGGAUCUUCUUCAAAAUUGGGCAGUACAGUCACAACGUGGUGCUGAAUGAAAGCAUUAUAUUUUGUGACUGUACGUUGAAGGGCGUGUCCGUGGCGUGCCCUCAAAGUUGGCCAUUUAGAACAAAUGUCACACUGUGAUGUCAUUUUGGCCUUUCAGGGCUUCUAUUUGAAUGAUUUCCUCUGACACGUUCUAACGGAUCUUCUUCAAAAUUGGGCAGUACAGUCACAACAUGGUGCUGAAUGAACGCAUUUCAUUUUUUGACUGUACGUUGAAGGGCGUGUCCGUGGCCUGCCGUCAAAGUUGGCCAUUUUGAAGCCCGUGGUCCUGUAUUUGAACAAACAAACUCCUUGAGAAUUGAUCAGAUCUGCUUCAAAACUUGACAGUACUCUUGAAUAAUCUUGCUGAUUACAAGUUGUGCUAUUUAUGACUGUACGUUGAAGGGCGUGUCCCAGGUGUCUCGUCAAAGUUGGACAUUUUGAAUUCUGUGGUCUUUUUUUUCAAAGUGAUGAAACACAAACACCCCUCCGCUCCCACUAGCCACAUCUACAAACCAUAUUUCCUAGGGAGUAUUGUUCGUGGAGCAUAGUGUGAAACCGCUGGAAGUCACUUAUUAAAUUGCAAGAUAAAUAGGGGACUUAUCAAAUCGACUUCAAAAUUGGACAGUCUUAUAAAAACAAAGUGUACAUGAAGAAUUGAGCUAUUUGUGACUGUACGUCAAACUGCGUGCCACUGACCCCUUGUCGAAUUCAGAUGAUUUUCCAUUAAGCGGUACUCAUAACUUCAGUGUGCAAUGUCCAAUUUCCAAUAAACUUCAUAUAUUCUGUAACAGUCUCGCCCUGAACACGUCCUCAUAACAUCAGCCUACGUAUUACAGUCCCGCCCUGAACUUGUCUACGUGACAAGAUUCAGAUAAAGUGAAAGCACAGCAUACUGGCAACAGGAAGGAAGCGCUGCGUGGCGAUACGGAGCUGAUUUGGAGCAGAUUUACGUGACGUAUUCGCGUUGCGGUCCGCGCUUGUUACGACGGCACGUGGCGUGGCCUCGGCGCACCCCGACCGCACGUGACGCGUUUGCGGCGCGCCCCGACGAGCGCCGGGUGCGAGGUCCCGCCCAACGCUGCUUGCAGCUUUAAUUAGGGACCGAGCCAGUAUGAACUGGAAGGUCUCUAUUGUUUUUCCUUCGUUUAUUAUUAUUAUUAUUAUUAUUUUUAGCGACUUUGCUCGCAUUUUUCACCCCCUUAACAAUUAUAAUAUUCGCAUUUUAUUUGGCACAUUUGUCAAGCCUCAUUUAAAUUGGAGAUUCUAUGCGUCACAUGCAGGUCAGCCACUAGGAAGGCCACUAGGUGGCGCUAUUUGUAGGCCAAUUUCGAUACGCUAAUAACUCCCGCAUAGUUUGUCUCACAUUCAAAAACCUUAUAUCCACGCGUUCGGUGAAUGGAGCUGAACCUCCCCAUAUAGGCCACGCCCACUUCCGCCUAUUUUUUUUUUUUCUAGAGCGCAAAAUGUCCAUAAAUCACUUUUUCGUGUUCCUCCUACACACUUUUUCCGAUGCGCACGAAACUUUGCACGUUUCAUCUGUGGACCGUCCUGACAACAAAAGUAAUUUGAAGAAUUUUGAUAUUAUAAAACAUAAGGAAGUUAUACAAUUAGCACUUCCUGUUGAUUUUUCGUCAAAAAAGGAAGUGGGGUAUUUCUCCACAUUGGUAUGUCCGAUUUACACCAACCUUGGGUCCAUAGUUCCCCAUGUCUUCCUUAAGCAUCGUGCACAAUUUCAGGUCAUCACCACAAGGUGGCGCUCUUUAAAAUGAAGGAGUUUAUAGCUCUACAACGGUAUGUGUGAUUAAGAUGAAACUUUGUAUGCUGCUUCCCCAUGGCUCCCUGAGGCUCACCUAAAAAGGAAAAAAAAUCACGCCACUAGGUGGCACUCUGGUGGCAGGGUAAAUCACUGUGCGGACACCGUAAUAGUUAUGAAUAUGAAAGUUAUUGGGCGCGUGUAGACUGCUGCCUGAAGCUCACAUACCAAAAAUCGUGUUUGUCCUGCUUGUAGCGCCCCCUACAGGAUAAAAAAACAUCAGCCCCGGCGCCACGUUUCACCGACAUGUACGAAACUCAAUAGGCAUGUAUAAUGUGCCGGGGCGUACAAAAAAGCCUCUUGGACCCAUACUUCAAAUCCCACAGGAAGUCGGCUAUUUUCGUUGAAAAUUUGCACUUUUGGCAGCCAUUUUGUGGUCAUUUUGACCUUUUGGGCUUCUUUGUGAACUAACUGCUCCUAGGGAAUUUAUCGGAUCUGCUUAAAAAUUGGUCAGUACAGUCAAAACAUGGUGCUGAAUGAACGCAUUAUAUUUUGUGACUGUACGUUGAAGGGCGUGUCCGUGGCGUGCCCUCAAAGUUGGCCAUUUAGAACAAAUGUCACACUGUGAUGUCAUUUUGGCCUUUCAGGGCUUCUAUUUGAAUGAUGCCCUCCUACAGCUUCUAUUGGAUCUUCUUCAAAAUUGGGCAGUCCAGUCACAACGUGGUGCUGAAUGAACGCAUUAUAUUUUGUGACUGUACGUUGAAGGGUGUGUCCGUGGCGUGCCCUCAAAGUUGGCCAUUUAGAACAAAUGUCACACUGUGAUGUCAUUUUGGCCUUUCAGGGCUUCUAUUUGAAUGAUCUCCUCCUACACGUUCUAACGGAUCUUCUUCAAAAUUGGGCAGUACAGUCACAACAUGGUGCUGAAUGAACGCAUUUCAUUUUGUGACUGUACGUUGAAGGGCGUGUCCGUGGCGUGCCCUCAAAGUUGGCCAUUUUGAAGCCUGUGGUCCUGUAUUUGAACAAACAAAGUCCUUGAGACUUUAUCAGAUCUGCUUCAAAACUUGACAGGACUCUUGAAUAAUCUUGCUGAUUACAAGUUGUGCUAUUUAUGACUGUACGUUGAAGGGCGUGUCCCAGGUGUCUCGUCAAAGUUGGACAUUUUGAAUUCUGUGGUCUUUUUUUUUCAAAGUGAUGAAACACAAACACCCCUCCACUCCCACUAGCCACAUCUACAAACCAUAUUUCCUAGGGAGUAUUGUUCGUGGAGCAUAGUGGGAAACUGCUGGAAGUCAAGUGUUAAAUUGCAAGAUAAAUAGGGGACUUAUCAAAUCGACUUCAAAAUUGGACAGUCUUAUAAAAACAAAGUGUACAUGAAGAAUUGAGCUAUUUGUGACUGUACGUCAAACGGCGUGCCACUGACCCCUUGUCGAAUUCAGAUGAUUUUCCAUUAAGCGGUACUCAUAACUUCAGUGUGCAAUGUCCAAUUUCCAAUAAACUUCAUAUAUUCUGUAACAGUCUCGCCCUGAACACGUCCUCAUUACAUCAGCCUACGUAUUACAGUCCUGCCAUGAACUUGUCUACGUGACAAGAUUCAGAUAAAGUGAAAGCACAGCAUACUGGCACCAGGAAGGAAGCGCUGCGUGGCGAUACGGAGCUGAUUUGGAGCAGAUUUACGUGACGUAUUCGCGUUGCGGUCCGCGCUUGUUACGACGGCACGUGCGUGGCCUCGGCGCACCCCGACCGCACGUGACGCGUUUGCGGCGCGCCCCGACGAGCGCCGGGUGCGAGGUCCCGCCCAACGCUGCUUGCAGCUUUAAUUAUUAUUAUUAUUUUUAGCGUCUUUGCUCGCAUUUUUCACCCCCUAAACAUUUGCAAUAUUUGCAUUUUAUUUGGCACAUUUGUCAAGCCUCAUUUAAAUUAGAGAUUCUAUGCGUCACAUGCAGGUCAGCCACUAGGAAGGCCACUAGGUGGCGCUGUUUGUAGGCCAAUUUCGAUACGCCAAUAACUCCCGCAUAGUUUGUCUCACAUUCAAAAACCUUAUAUCCACGCGUUCGGUGAAUUGAGCUGAACCUCCCGGUAUAGGCCACGCCCACUUCCGCCUAUAAUUUUUUUUUUCUAGAGCGCAAAAUGUCCAUAAAUGACCGUUUCAUGUUCCUCCCACACACUUUUGUCCGAUUCGCACGAAAUUUUGCACGUAGCAUCUGUGGACCGUCCUGACAACAAAAGUAAUUUGAACAUUUUUGAUAUUUUAAAAGAUAAGGAAGUUAUAAAAUUAGCACUUCCUGUUGAUUUUUCGUCAAAAAAGGAAGUGGGGUAUUUCUCCACAUUGGUAUGUCCGAUUUACACCAACCUUGGGUCCAUAGUUCCCCAUGUCUUCCUUAAGCAUCGUGCACAAUUUCAGGUCAUCACCACAAGGUGGCGCUCUUUAAAAUGAAGGAGUUUAUAGCUCUACAACGGUAUGUGUGAUUAAGAUGAAACUUGGUACGCUGCUUCCCCAUGGCUCCCUGAGGCUCACCUUAAAAGGACAAAAAAAAUACGCCACUAGGUGGUGCUCUUUUGGCAUGAUAAAUCACUCGUAAUAGUUAUGAAUAUGAAAUUCACAGGGCACGUGUAGACUGCUGCCUGAAGCUCACAUACCAAAAAUCGUGUUUGUCCUGCUUGUAGCGCCCCCUACAGGAUAAAAAAACAUCAGCCCCGGCGCCACGUUUCACCGACAUGUACGAAACUCAAUAGGCAUGUAUAAUGUGCCGGGGCGUACAAAAAAGCCUCUUGGACCCAUACCUCAAAUCCCACAGGAAGUCGGCUAUUUUCAUUUAAAAUUUGCACUUUUGGCGGCCAUUUUGUGGUCAUUUUGACUCUUUGGGCUUGUUUUAGAACUAACUGCUCCUAGGGAAUUUAUCAGAUCUGCUUCAAAAUUGGUCAGUACAGUCACAACAUGGUGCUGAAUGAACGCAUUAUAUUUUGUGACUGUACGUUGAAGGGCGUGUCCGUGGCGUGCCCUCAAAGUUGGCCAUUUUGAAGUCUGUGGUCUUGUAUUUGAACAAACAAACUCCUAGAGAAUUUAUCAGAUCGGCUUCAAAACUUGACAGUACUCUUGAAUAAUCUUGCUGAUUACAAGUUGUGCUAUUUAUGACUGUACGUUGAAGGGCCUGUCCCAGGUGUCUCGUCAAAGUUGGACAUUUUGAAUUCUGUGGUCUUUUUUUCAAAGUGAUGAAACACAAACACCCCUCCGCUCCCACUAGCAACAUCUACAAACCAUAUUUCCUAGGGAGUAUUGUUCGUGGAGCAUAGUGUGAAACCGCUGGAAGUCACUUAUUAAAUUGCAAGAUAAAUAGGGGACUUAUCAAAUCGACUUCAAAAUUGGACAGUCUUAUAAAAACAAAGUGUACAUGAAGAAUUGAGCUAUUUGUGACUGUACGUCAAACUGCGUGCCACUGACCCCUUGUCAAAUUCAGAUGAUUUUCCAUUAAGCGGUACUCAUAACUUCAGUGUGCAAUGUCCAAUUUCCAAUAAACUUCAUAUAUUCUGUAACAGUCUGGACCUGAACGCGUCCUCAUUGCAUCAGCCUACGUAUUACAGUCCCGCCCUGAACUUGUCUACGUGACAAGAUUCAGAUAAAGUGAAAGCACAGCAUACUGGCAACAGGAAGGAAGCGCUGCGUGGCGAUACGGAGCUGAUUUGGAGCAGUUUUACGUGACGUAUUCGCGUUGCCGUCCGCGCUUGUUACGACGGCACGUGCGUGGCCUCGGCGCACCCCGACCGCACGUGACGCGUUUGCGGCCCGCCCCGACGAGCGCCGGGUGCGAGGUCCCGCCCAACGCUGCUUGCAGCUUUAAUUAUUAUUAUUUUUCAGAACAUUGAGCGCAUUUUUCACCCCCUUACCAAUUAUAAUAUUCGCAUUUUAUUUGGCACAUUUGUCAAGCUUCUCUAAACUCGGAGAUUCUAUGCAGAUCAGCCACUAGGUAGGCCACUAGGUGGCGCUAUUUAAAAAAAUCUUGAAAGGCUAAUAACUCCCGCAUAGUUUGUCUCACAUUCAAAAACCUUAUAUCCACGCGUUCGGUGAAUGGAGCUGAACCUCCCCAUAUAGGCCACGCCCACUUCCGCCUAGAUUUUUUUUUUUUUCUAGAGCGCAAAAUGUCCAUAAAUGACUUUUUGGUGUUCAUCCUACACACUUUGUCCGAUUCGCACGAAAUUUUGCACGUAGCAUCUGUGGACCGCCCUGACAACAAAAGUAAUUUGAAGAAUUUUGAUAUUUUAAAAAAUAAGCGUGUUAUAAAAUUAGCACUUCCUGUUGAUUUUUCGUCAAAAAAGGAAGUGGACCAUUUCUCCACAUUUGUAUGUCCGAUCGACACCAUGCUUGGGUACAUAGUUCCCCAUGUCUUCCUUAGGCAUCGUGCACAAUUUCAGGUCAUCACCACAAGGUGGCGCUCUUUCAAAUGAAGGAGUUUAUAUCUCUACAACGGUAUGUGUGAUUAAGAUGAAACUUGGUACGCUGCUUCCCCAUGGCUCCCUGAGGCUCCCCUAAAAAGGAAAAAAAUCACGCCACUAGGUGGCACUCUGGUGGCAGGGUAAAUCACUGUGCACACACCAUAAUAGUUAUGAAUAUGAAAUUCACUGGGCACGUGUAGAGUGGUGCCUGAAGCUCACAUAUCAAAAAUCGGGUUUGUCGUGCUUGUAGC
Molecule: long non-coding RNA, 6604 nt
Organism: Dicentrarchus labrax (European seabass)
Lineage: Eukaryota; Metazoa; Chordata; Actinopteri; Moronidae
Exons: 4
Source: RefSeq, a predicted model, not a curated record